CUACAUCAAAUGGCAUAGUUUCAUAUUGAAACUACGUUCAUUUUGUGAUCUCAAUAUUUCAUCUCGUUCGUUCAUCCAACUUCGAUCCAUUGGCUCUCAUUCACCCCAAUCCUAGGUAUAUAAACCCCAAAACCCUGAAAUAUUUCCCCCAUUUAGACCUAAUCCCAACCCUUAAUUCAUAUCUUCUCUUCUCCUUCACAUUUCAGCUGCCGCCUCUGUCCCGCCGUGCGCCGCUGCCAGCCGACAUACAAUCACCCCAAACUUACCCCCCUCAAUCUCAACCUCCUCUUUCCAUAUCCAAACCCCAAAUCCCCAAAAUCACCUCAAUCUAACCAAAUCUACAAAUAUCUGAAAAAACCCUAGCCAUCGCCACCUCAAGUCUGGUGAGAUCUAACAUUCACACCACACGCCAUACAUAAAUGGAUAGAUCUCAAUGAGAUAUAUCCUUUCUUAUCCAUUUCACCCUCAAAUGUUCCCGCACCGUCGACCUGAGCACUUCAUUGCUGCCUCACGCCACAUGAGAACACCGUUGCCGUCUACCAUCACUGCUUCACCACCUACACAAACCUCUAUAACUCGUCUUAUAUCAUAUACAUGAUCAAAAACUCUAUUUUCUCCUUGACAUAACAUGGAACUAAUUUUAUUAAGCUGUAAUUCCUUUUUCCAACAAAUGCCAUGGAGAAAAUAAAGCUCAAGGAGUCGAUUCGCUGCAGUUCAUGCUAUCUUUGAGAUUUGAGGGAAACUGUUUGAAUUGUUCUGUACUGCCCCUAACUCAAUUUUAUUUUUCUUUUAGCUUAUGAGUUUUCCUUUUUAGUUUCUAGUUUCGUUUGUCUAUUUUUGAUCAAUAAUAUGAUUGUUGAUUCGUCGUCUCUGUUUAUGACUGUUGAUUGAUUAGAUUGUCAUUGACCAAACUGAUUUCAGUGUCGUUGAAUCAUCCGCUUUGUUAGUCGAUUGUUUAGUUAUUGAACGUCAUCGUCUGAUUGAAAACAAUGCUCAUCUAAUAUCUUUUUUGAGCAUUAGCUUGUGAAAUUUAGUUGUUGUGCCAUGUUAGAUUGCACAAAUCCAAUUCAUUCUAAUCUAGCUUGUUUGAAUGUUUAGUUCGAUUACAUUUUGAGUCUUCUCUCUGAUUUUCUAAUUCGUAGUUUGUUAGCGUUUGAGCAUAUUUGCUGCAUUUCAGUCAUAUAUGGAUAAAAGCUGGGUACCUUAGUUUAAAGUACAUGGUUGUUGGGUAUUUUACUGUUUAAGCAUACUGAAAAAUACAACUUCUUCGCUUUGCAUCAGAUUUUUAUGAAAAGAGGACUGUUUUUGGCACACAAAAGUUAGCCCUUUAGAACAGAUUUUUAGAGAACCAAAAUCUAUCCAAAAUUACUUAUUUUCCUACUUAAAAAGUCAAUGUUUCGCACUUGGACACUCUAUUAUACACAUACUUAGAACAAACAUCUUUUACACUCUAAUAAAACACAAAACUUGAGAGAAAUGUCAACAGUUGAACAUCCAAAUGUAAGCUGAAAAAUUGAAAGUUGUGAGUUUUUCUUCCUUUCCUAGGUUGGUGAAUUUUUGGUUUGAGUUUCCAAUUUGUAUCAGGUUUAAAAGAUUGUUGUUGAUUGGAUGUUCUAUUGCUGUUUGGUUACUAUUUUUUUCUUUGCUAUUGAAAGUUUGUAGUGUUUGUUGGUUGGUUUUUGGAGUUCUGGCCAUUCAGGUAACUUUUAAUCUAUUGUUAUGCAGAUUCCAAUGUCAAGUAUUGAAGAUAUUAAUUUGUUUCUUUUAUUUGAGUAUGCUUGAGGAGACAUAAUGAAGGAAUAAAUGUUUAAAUGCCGCAUAUAUGUCUCAAAUGGGUAGAAUCAGGGAUAAGUAGUUAAUACUUCAAUAUUCCUUUACAGAUUAGCUAAAAUGGUAUCUCGUUUAUUUUUGUUUUAAGAAUAGCGUAUCACAAGUUUCUGUGCACUGUAAGUUUGAUCUUCAUUAACGAUGGUUGGAAUCUA
RNAcentral lists this long non-coding RNA (1982 nucleotides) under Nicotiana benthamiana. RNAcentral describes it as "long non-coding RNA (NBEN_LNC039114)". Lineage: Eukaryota; Viridiplantae; Streptophyta; Magnoliopsida; Solanales; Solanaceae. The record is from RNAcentral.